This 1184-nucleotide long non-coding RNA is filed under the name Pogona vitticeps (central bearded dragon). Its description in RNAcentral is "lncRNA (ENSPVIG00000024173.1)". The record is from RNAcentral. Lineage: Eukaryota; Metazoa; Chordata; Lepidosauria; Squamata; Agamidae.
CAGUGAAGGCUUUUGUGAAUAACCACAUACCUCCGUGACACUCUUGCGGAUAAUAAUUCACAAUAACACUGGAAUAUAUAUAUUAAUCUUUAAGAUGCCACAGUGCUUUUGGUUUUGUGAUGAAGAACAAGAAGAGUAAGCAGCAGGAGCAGGAGUCGGAAAUGCUCAACAGUAAGAUCCAUGCCACCUAAAGCAAGACUGGGUGUCUACAGCAGCUUUAUGAGACAAAAUAGCGUUUCAUUGCAUCUGGCUCUGAAUAUUUAAUGCUAAUUGUUUUAGCUAAUACUGUUUAUAGAACUGGAACGUAUAGGCCUGGAGUGAACAUUGUGUGCAUCUUUUUAUGGUUCUGACUAAUGAGUAAUUCUUAGAUAUUACAUACAUUUGUUAUGACUAUUUUGAAAAGUAGUUAGAAUGUUUUAUUUGAUACACCCAGUGCUUGUUAUAAUAUUUAUGGUUUUCUAAUUUUAAAGCAGAGCCCCCAUAUAGUUAUUGAAAAUUUGUUUCUGAUGCCCAUCUAUGAAAAAUAAGAGCAGUUUUUCAUUAAAAUAUGCUAAUGGAAGAAGACUAAACAGGAAGCAAAAGCAUGCAUAUGUAUUAAGUGACACAGGCAUAAUUAAAGCAAUAAGUUUUGUUUUUAAUAUUGAAGCUCAUUACAACUGUAUAGAGAGAAUUUAGGGAAAAAAUUAGCAAAGAUUGGUUGCGCAAACAGCUUAUGGCCACAUAUAACUUGCAUAUUCCCUCCUAGUGUACAAAAGAAUUCUAGAAAUGGCAGUCUUGAAAAGUCUUUCACAUGGAGUGUGGGCAGAUCUGAAAACUAGAGACACCAGGAACAUUUCAUCCAUCCAUCCAUCCGUCCAUAUCACAUUGCAGACACAUACCGCAAUUGCUCAUUGUCUACGGAACAUUAACUCUCAUGAAGGAAACAUCAAACGACCAUCCUGGGCUAUUAAAACAAGCAGUCUCACUAAUAAGGGAAGAUUCCCAAUGAUGGUAAUGUACAUUCGUAAUGAAAUUUAAGCAAUAUAAUUAUCAGAUACCUGUGAGGAAAAAGGUGAAGUACCCAUAUACUUUCUCAUUCUUUCUCAGUCCCCCCCUCCCCUCUCUCGCACAAAGAGAGGGAGCUUCUUUUUGGGCUAAUUGAUUCAAGUUACAUUAAGCACCUGAGGUGAUGGCAUUCCAGUGGA